GUACACGCUGUGACUAGCAUAUCAAUAAGCGGAGGAAAAGAAACUAACAAGGAUUCCCCUAGUAACGGCGAGUGAAGCGGGAAGAGCUCAAAUUUGAAAUCUUAAAGGGUUUCCCUUUACGAGUUGUAGUUUAAAGAAGUGUUUUCUGUUGAGGUUUUGGUAAAAGUUCUUUGGAAUAGGACAUCAUAGAGGGUGAGAAUCCCGUAUUUGACCUUUACUUUCAACUUUGUGAUACACUUUCAAAGAGUCGGAUUGUUUGGGAAUGCAGUCCAAAAUGGGUGGUAAAUUUCAUCUAAAGCUAAAUAUUGGCGAGAGACCGAUAGCGAACAAGUACCGUGAGGGAAAGAUGAAAAGAACUUUGAAAAGAGAGUUAAACAGUACGUGAAAUUGUCAAAAGGGAAGCGUUUGACACCAGUGUUGUUUUUCUGAAAAUCAAUUAAAGAACUGUUUAUGCUAAGCUGUUUAGACUUUAUCAGCUAACUGUUUAGUUUUGAGCUUUUCUUUAAUGCACUUUUCAGUUAACAAGUCAACAUCAAUUUCUUUUGCUGUAAAAAAGCUUGAGGAAGGUGGCUUGAGAUUCGUCUUAAGUGUUUAUAGCCUCUUGCCUAUGCAGUCGGAGAGAUUGAGGUCUGCAGCGUAGAUCCUUCGGGGCUAAAUGCAUUUGUGCUAAGUUAUAGCAUUUUAUAGACAACUUGUUGACUAUGAUUUGUCUUGUAGCUUACUCGCUUAUGUUAUUUUACCUACGCUUAGGAUGUUGAGUCGUAGAGCACGCAG
This 774-nucleotide ribosomal RNA is filed under the name uncultured Neocallimastigales. RNAcentral describes it as "partial large subunit ribosomal RNA". It matches the Rfam family "Eukaryotic large subunit ribosomal RNA", at positions 22 to 628 of the family's 3401-position model. The record is from RNAcentral. Lineage: Eukaryota; Fungi; Neocallimastigomycota; Neocallimastigomycetes; Neocallimastigales.